Triticum urartu is the source of this 115-nucleotide non-coding RNA. Lineage: Eukaryota; Viridiplantae; Streptophyta; Magnoliopsida; Poales; Poaceae. The record is from Rfam.
CAACUACUUCCUUCGUUCGGAAUUACUAGUCACAGAAAUGAAUGUAUCUAGACGUAUUUUAGUUCUAGAUACAUCCAUUUUCAAGACAAGUAAUUCCGAACGGAGGGAAUAACUC